CUAGUUUGUUCGUGAGAAUAGACUAGUCUUCAGAAGAUGACAAGCCUGUGGGGCGUAAAUAGAUAUGUCUUGUCAAAAGAAUUAGGCCUACAUAAUUCGAUUGAGUCCAAGGUGUAGGAACAUAUCUAUGAUCGUGCGGACGUAAAAAUCAGGU
Molecule: non-coding RNA, 154 nt
Filed under: unclassified sequences
Source: RNAcentral